This 2122-nucleotide long non-coding RNA is filed under the name Mus musculus (house mouse). Its description in RNAcentral is "RIKEN cDNA 5930403N24 gene (ENSMUSG00000046463.7)". The record is from RNAcentral. Lineage: Eukaryota; Metazoa; Chordata; Mammalia; Rodentia; Muridae.
CUGUAGGCCAGAUGUGGGAAACGCAAAAACAGCAAACAGCCUAAGCCAUGCUCGUUCCUUUCUCUCCUAGAGGCGUGAAAUAAAAUAUUUUGAAAUUGGUCCUUGGAGCACCUCAAAUCGCGUCUCUCCAACUAUUCCAAUUACCGAUCACUUUUCCACAAAACAUUGUGAGGACCAUUUUCAGAAGAUCGAAACUUGCUAGCAUGUUAUCACUGUAAGAAACGACAUCAUUAAUUUUCCUCUGUGGUAAAACUAGACCGAGCCUUGAGUGUACGAAUCCAUAUUUACAGUUGGGAGGCAGCUACUCUCGUCGACACGGGUUGUUUUCCUAGCCUGCUGCCAACAUCGGAGGGACUCUCAUUUUGAACUUGUCUGUGCACAGCAUCAAGUGUGCUCCUGGAAGAGAGGCAACAGCGAGGAAAUCCUAAAAGACCGAGUCCUAGUCUCAGAAGAAAUCGCCUGCAAGGUUGAGAGACAGAAAGAAAAUCCCUGGAGACUCCACGUCUAACCCAGGCUAAAGGCAAAGCUCUACAGCGGUGUGUAGGAUAUCUCUCUCGUUCGCUACAGCCCUUGCCACCGAAGUACCAGACGCUUUUAGUGUGUGAAAGACCAGGCGUUGAUUUAAUGUAUCUGGAAGGGAGAGGGGAUAGAGGAUGCAACUUAAUAAAUAUUCCUCUAGUCUCGCUCAUGAAAACAUCCAAAACAUCUUUCGGCGUUUGCAUUUAAUGACUGCAACGUGAACGAUGGAGGCGAGAAGCAGUCGAGGGAAUGGCUCGUUUCUCUUAGUGUUGGCUCGGAAUUGUCAAACAGUUACUUUCUGUUCAUUGUAGGGAAAUAGGUCACACUUUGAGUGAAAAGGACAGUUGGUUCAAGCCAAUAACCCUUUGUUCAAGUGCUGUUUGACAGUCCCUGAGCAGAACAUCGUUGCGUGAAGUUUCAUCUCCUGUCCAGUACCUUUAGAUACAUUAUUAAAUCCCAAAGUCAUAUUCCACGGAGCGCCUGGAAGGAAUAUUUCGUCGAAACGCGUCUUGCCAACCAACGUGUUAGCACCCGUAAGGAAGCCUGCUGGACUGGCCCGAGAACCCGGCCGCCAGGAUGGACACGAAUCCCUCAUUAGCAGUUCCAACUUGAAAAGUCAACUGGGCUGGUCCAACACCACCAUCCAGGAGAUUCCCAAAGGCUCAAAAGGCAAUCUGUGCACCCACCCCACGGGAACCUUGCCCCUUCCUCUGCGUCUCCCUCCGGUUUUAAAUUGGGAUGAUUGCUAGUUCGCUUUCGGAUUUUUUCUCCCAGACAUUCGGGGGCUGCUUUUGUGGCUCCUUUGUUAACAGGCUGUCGUGCAGCUUUCCCCCCUUUUCUUUCUCCAAUGCCUAUUUGCCUGGUAUCGGCUCGUCUCCGGGGCAACCGCGGGGAAGAUUCGGAGCCCCAGGCGCCGGGAGGGGGAAGGGGCGGAGCCCGGCGGAGUGGGGGCGGGGAGGGGCGCGAGAGGAGGGGCGGAGGGAGUGGGUCAGGAGGAGACCCCAGGACCCACGAGGAGCAGAUGGCCGCUCCGGGGCGGAGCCCGUGAGCGUCAGGGGAGCGGGAGAGCCAAUCCGUCCCUGCAGCAGCGCGGGAGAGAGCCAACGAGAGUAAACACGCGGGCUGUCCCCCCCCCCCCCCCCCCGCGGUCCCUACUUUGCAGCUGAAGACGUGAUUUCCUUUGGAUAAGAAAGCUCAUUGCCAGUGUGGUUGGAAAGCUGGCGGUCCCCGGGAGAAUGGGUUGGGAGGCGGGUUUGGGCGGAGCUCUGAAAUCUCCCUCUCCCUUUCCUCCCCUCCCACCCCGACUCAGGCACCCACUAAGCCUGGCGAGAAUGGAAGAGGCGGGUGGAUGGGAGAGCGGGGCGGGGCUGGGAAAAGGGAAGAGAUUGACUCUUGCUAUGAACCUUAAGGAAUGCCAGCAAGCUAUUGGAGCUGCUGGUCUUUACCUGCUGCAGUUCCCCUACAGUUUGGUGGUCUCCCCGUAGAGUUAAGGGUUUGGGGGGGGGGGGAGGCGGGGAAACACCCGCCAAAUGCAUUUAUAUAAGUGAGAUUAAAGAACCCAUAAGGACAUUAAAAAUUGGAAGCAGGCGCCUAUAGCCAACUC